CGAUAGCUCAGUUGGUUAGAGCAUGUGACUGUAGAAGUGCGGUUAUCACAGGGUCCCUGGUUCGAAUCCGGG
This 72-nucleotide transfer RNA is filed under the name Eutreptiella gymnastica. It matches the Rfam family "tRNA", at positions 7 to 63 of the family's 71-position model. Rfam says of the family: Transfer RNA (tRNA) molecules are approximately 80 nucleotides in length. Their secondary structure includes four short double-helical elements and three loops (D, anti-codon, and T loops). The record is from RNAcentral. Lineage: Eukaryota; Euglenozoa; Euglenophyceae; Eutreptiales; Eutreptiaceae.